Mycena maculata is the source of this 85-nucleotide non-coding RNA. NCBI's taxonomy places the organism in Eukaryota, Fungi, Basidiomycota, Agaricomycetes, Agaricales, Mycenaceae. The record is from the annotation of a GenBank genome assembly.
GGUCUAGUGGUAUAAGGGUAACAUACCUUGGGAUGUUAAUGAAGGACUUCCCAAGUGGUUCCCGGUGCAACUCCGGGCUAGACUG